AAAGAUGGGGCGGCGCGGCCGGGGCUCGCCAGCACCAGCCCUGGAACCCCAUGGGGGACCUCGACAACAGCGCCUUUGCGGCGUGGGCCCCUUUCUGCAGCUCCUCCACCCGCGCGCUGUCGGCUCCGGGACACUGGGGCUUUGAAGGGCGCCAGUUCCCAGCCGCACCUGCACGCCUAGGAGGGCGCAGGCCGCGUGUCCCUGUGGGAGGAAGGCCCCGGCAACCUGCAAAGACCUCACGUCACAGAAACUUGCGGCGUUUGCCCCCGAUGCGCGCGUCAGGUGCUCCGUCCCUUCCAGGUGGCAGAGGAGAGGGAAGGGUCGCGCCUGGUGGGGGCCUGAGAGCCACCGGGCUGCGGUGCGCGAGUGUGGACACCGCCCCGCCUUCUGCGUCUACAGCCCUGGGUUCUGGGACCUUUGGAAACCGCUUUGGACGAAGCUGAGCAUCUCUUUCCCCACGCUGACCUCCCCCAUAGACUCCGGAUGGGAGUAAAUGAGGCUCCUGGGAAAUCCAGAAACUCUAGAGAAGCUUGUUUGCCAAACCUUGCUUUGGGCGGUGGAGACAGAAUAUCAUGUCCCAGAUCAGCGUGUGGUGACUGUGGAGGCAUUUACACACAGCACACUCCAGCUCUGCCACUGGGCCGGCUGAGGUGGCUGCGGUACACGGCGCCCAUCCUGAGCCCCAGGUUCCUCACAUGUCAACAGCAUGAAAAGUGCCUCUAAGACAUCCACAGGUGUGCAGUGUUAAAGCAGGAUUCUGCCAUGAUUGCCACCUCUGGAGACGUCACAGCCAGCACAGCCAUGACCAGGGAUGAACUUGGCCAUUGUCCAGCAGCACCAUGGGAGGACCAGCUGCUGUAAGUGAAGGUCAUCAUCCAUCUGAUUUGCUGGCUUUUUGCAACUACUGCGGUGGAAGUCUUAGAGUAGCCACCUUCUCUGUACUCAGACCUUCACUUCGCCAGAUGUCAGCACAGCAGUGUCAGCAGCUUCGUCAAACACAAACACCACCACCUCUCUGGAUCAGAAGCACAUGGAAAGCCCACCUUGCAAGAAGACCCAGCUAUUCCAAAAGUACCCAUAUCCCUGUAGCAUCCUCUUAGCUGAAUGUCUCUACUCCUUAAACUUGUACCACUUUGAAGAGUAAAAAUUUAAAUUCAUUCAUAUUAUCAUUUUUUAGUUUUUAGUAUAAGUGGAGCUGUUUAUCGGCCAUUUGUAUGUCCUUUUCUUUUUUUUGCAAAUUACUCCUUUGCCAAAUUUUCUCUCAAAUGACUCAUCUUUUUCUUAUUGAUUUGCAGAAGCUAUUUACAUAUUAUGGAUGUGGGGUGUCUAACAUACACAGCAAAUACUUUGUCCCAGUGUGUCACUUUUUAAAAAAAUUCUUAUAAUGUCUUUCAUCUUUAAAAAAUUAUUAAGCUAUUGUGAGCUUUUAUGCCUUUUCAGUUUAUUUUCUUACAUAGAUAAUUAUAUGAAGUGCAAAUAGGGGCAGUGUUAGUCUCAUCUUCCCAAGGCUGCACCUCAGAUGUGGAAUGUUGACAGCAACAUCUGUUACCUUGUUUCUGUUUUUAGGAUUUUAGCGUUAAGGCCAGGCAUAAUGGUUCAUGCCUGUAAUUCCAGCACUUUGGGAGGCCGAGGUGGGCAGAUCACUUGAAGCCAGGAGUUCAAGACCAGCCUGGCCAACAUGGAGAAACCCUCUCUAUUUUUAAAUACAUUUAAAAUGUUAACAAUUAAAACAAAAUAUUUUACCGUUAGUAUGAUGCUUGAUACAGGAUUUCUGGUACAUACGCCUUAUCAAAUUAAAUAAGUUUCCUUUUACUCUUGUUUAUUGUUAUUUUUUAAAAUAAGGAAUGAAUCUUGGAUUUUAGUGUAUCAAUAAUUAUAUUUUAUUCUUUAACUUCAUAAUAUUCCUUAUAAUUCCUUAUGUCAUAUUAAAGAUGUAAAUUCAUAUAUAUUUUAUCAUACAAAUGAUUAAUAA
Molecule: long non-coding RNA, 1972 nt
Filed under: Homo sapiens (human)
Lineage: Eukaryota; Metazoa; Chordata; Mammalia; Primates; Hominidae
Description: long intergenic non-protein coding RNA 1018
Source: RNAcentral